GUCGAACGUGAAGCCACCUUCGGGUGGUGGAAAGUGGCAGACGGGUGAGUAACGCGUGGGAACGUGCCUUUCGGUUCGGAAUAACCCAGGGAAACUUGGGCUAAUACCGGAUACGCCCUCCGGGGGAAAGAUUCAUCGCCGAAAGAUCGGCCCGCGUCGGAUUAGCUAGUUGGUGGGGUAAUGGCCUACCAAGGCGACGAUCCGUAGCUGGUCUGAGAGGAUGAUCCCCCACACUGGGACUGAGACACGGCCCAGACUCCUACGGGAGGCAGCAGUGAGGAAUCUUGCACAAUGGGGGCAACCCUGAUGCAGCGACGCCGCGUGGGCGAUGAAGGCCUUCGGAUCGUAAAGCCCUUUUCUGCGUGACGAGGAACGGACGGUAGCGCAGGAAUAAGCGUCGGCUAACUACGUGCCAGCAGCCGCGGUAAAACGUAGGACGCAAGCGUUAUCCGGAGUUACUGGGCGUAAAGGGCGUGUAGGCGGCUGUUCAAGUGGCUCGUGAAAGAACCCGGCUCAACCGGGGAGGGUCGGGUCAGACUGGAUAGCUGGAGGAUGUCAGAGGGACACGGAAUUCCGGGUGUAGUGGUGAAAUGCGUAGAGAUCCGGAGGAACACCAGUGGCGCAGGCGGUGUCCUGGGGCGUACCUGACGCUGAGACGCGAAAGCAUGGGGAGCGAACGGGAUUAGAAACCCCGGUAGUCCAUGCCGUAAACGAUGCCGACUAGGGGUUCGCCGCAAGGUGGGUCCCGCAGCUAACGCGAUAAGUCGGCCGCCUGGGGAGUACGGUCGCAAGGCUAAAACUCAAAGGAAUUGACGGGGG
RNAcentral lists this ribosomal RNA (819 nucleotides) under uncultured bacterium. RNAcentral's name for it is "bacterial SSU rRNA". It matches the Rfam family "Bacterial small subunit ribosomal RNA", at positions 61 to 919 of the family's 1533-position model. The record is from RNAcentral.